This 433-nucleotide long non-coding RNA is filed under the name Homo sapiens (human). RNAcentral describes it as "non-protein coding lnc-PARPBP-6:1". The record is from RNAcentral. Lineage: Eukaryota; Metazoa; Chordata; Mammalia; Primates; Hominidae.
UUUAGUUUCCUGUGGAACCUGGAAGGAUCAGGAUUCCUGAAAAUUUAAACCAGAACUCAGAUAUUCCAGUAAUUGCUCAUCAAGUGCCCACUAGUAGCUAAGCAUCUGCUACACAACAGCAUACAAAGUCUGGAAGGUAAUGAAAAUAGUGCAAAUGGGUUCCCCAUUUCUUUUCCAAGAAAAACCUCCUAAUGGGUUGCUGAUGAGCUAAUCAGGUCAAGUGUUCUCUGAGUUGCCCUCUUUCUACAGUCAGCAAGCAUAACAUUUUGUUAACCUAUUGACACAGAGGAAAUUUGUUUUCCAUCUGACCUUUUACAGUAACUACUCAAAAUGUCCAAAUUGGAUGUUUACUUGCAGUGAAUAUGUUUUUAAUGGUUUGUUAUAUUCAGAGGAUCAUAACUUCAAAGAUGGUCAUCAAUUAAUUCACAAAGGU